GACGAACGCUGGCGGCGUGCUUAACACAUGCAAGUCGAACGGAAAGGCCCUGCUUUUGUGGGGUGCUCGAGUGGCGAACGGAUGAGUAACACGUGAGUAACCUGCCCUUGACUUUGGGAUAACUUCAGGAAACUGGGGCUAAUACCGGAUAGGAGCUCCUGCUGCAUGGUGGGGGUUGGAAAGUUUCGGCGGUUGGGGAUGGACUCGCGGCUUAUCAGCUUGUUGGUGGGGUAGUGGCUUACCAAGGCUUUGACGGGUAGCCGGCCUGAGAGGGUGACCGGCCACAUUGGGACUGAGAUACGGCCCAGACUCAUACGGGAGGCAGCAGUGGGGAAUAUAGCACAAUGGGCGGAAGCCUGAUGCAGCAACGCCGCGUGCGGGAUGACGGCCUUCGGGUUGGAAACCGCUUUCGCGUGUGACGAAGCGUGAGUGACGGGAAUGGGUAAAGAAGCACCGGCUAACUACGG
RNAcentral lists this ribosomal RNA (467 nucleotides) under uncultured bacterium. Its description in RNAcentral is "partial 16S ribosomal RNA". It matches the Rfam family "Bacterial small subunit ribosomal RNA", at positions 28 to 506 of the family's 1533-position model. The record is from RNAcentral.